Molecule: RNA transcript, 1313 nt
Organism: Ostrinia nubilalis (European corn borer)
Lineage: Eukaryota; Metazoa; Arthropoda; Insecta; Lepidoptera; Crambidae
Exons: 4
Source: RefSeq, a predicted model, not a curated record
ACUCACGGACAUUGCCCGCGGGCGGCGUGACCGGAGGGAGCGGCGAGCGUUCGGCGAACGAACGAGCAAUGUUCGGUUCGCGAGCGAACAUCGAAGAAGACGAUCCUGACGCACUCUCUUCAACGACUUUGCACAAAACGGUCUCGAUAACAUUGUAAAUUUAUACCGAAUAGACAAUUAAUUGUAUACAGUCCACUCUUUCAUUUAAUUAACUUCCACUACACUCACUAUCGAAGUAACAUAUUGGUCCAUCUACCGGAAAACUGAAUCCCGCUGAAGAAACGACUGCGGUAUCGAACUUUGACCCCGCGACACGUCCGCCGAUCUAUUGCGCCGUGUCACCAUCGCUAUCCGAGGAGUUGAAGAUCAGAGUCACCUGUGGAAUUUCUGGAUAAGGAUACGGGUAUUUUACCGACAUUGAGCUGCUAUCAGACAAUCCAGAGGAGGCCUAUGCCGAGCGCUUCAAAUUCGAAGACACCUUUUAUCCGCUGGUUGCACAGGCGCGAAAGCUCCUGGAGGCCAGUCAGCAACUUCAGAACAAGCUUUCUGCAGGUUCCGUAUCAGGCUCCGAGGUAUCAGCUGUGGUGAGAGUGGUGAGCGACAAAGGUCAAAGGUACAGCGCCAGGGUCCUGCUCGACAACGGUAGUACAGCUCACUUUGUUACUGACGCCGUGUGUACCAAGCUUGGAUUGUCCCGAGUUGGCAACAGUUCCAAGGUUACAGGUGACUGACAACGGCAACAUUACCAGAUUGGAGCGAUUCCAAAGAGUGGAGUUCAUAAGACAACAUUUCUGGAAGAGAUUUAACACAGAAUAUAUAUCUUUGCUACAGCAGAAAACAAAAUGGUCCACAUCCAAAGGGAACAUCACUGUGGGGAGCCUGGUUCUGGUGAAGGAUAAGGCGCUCCCACCUCUCUGUUGGCUGCUGGGUCGCGUCGUGCAGACCUACCCGGGCUCCGAUGGCGUGGUGAGGGUCGCCGAACUGAAGACAAAGAAGGGGACUAUCCGCCGUGGCUUCAACAAUAUAUGCCCUCUACCAAUUUCUUGAAGUUUCCACUUCAACCCGGGGAGCAUGUCUACUCACGGACAUUGCCCGCGGGCGGCGUGACCGGAGGGAGCGGCGAGCGUUCGGCGAACGAACGAGCAAUGUUCGGUUCGCGAGCGAACAUCGAAGAAGACGAUCCUGACGCACUCUCUUCAACGACUUUGCACAAAACGGUCUCGAUAACAUUGUAAAUUUAUACCGAAUAGACAAUUAAUUGUAUACAGUCCACUCUUUCAUUUAAUUAACUUCCACUACACUCACUAUCGAAG